This 106-nucleotide transfer RNA is filed under the name Colletotrichum cereale. RNAcentral describes it as "tRNA-Val". It matches the Rfam family "tRNA". Rfam says of the family: Transfer RNA (tRNA) molecules are approximately 80 nucleotides in length. Their secondary structure includes four short double-helical elements and three loops (D, anti-codon, and T loops). The record is from RNAcentral. Lineage: Eukaryota; Fungi; Ascomycota; Sordariomycetes; Glomerellales; Glomerellaceae.
GGUCUGGUGGUGUAGUUGGUUAUCACGUCAGUCUAACAGAUUGAGGUCAUCUCACGAUGUUCUCACUGCACACUGAAGGUCUCCGGUUCAAGUCCGGGCUAGAUCA